RNAcentral lists this long non-coding RNA (2408 nucleotides) under Mus musculus (house mouse). RNAcentral describes it as "RIKEN cDNA A530076I17 gene". The record is from RNAcentral. Lineage: Eukaryota; Metazoa; Chordata; Mammalia; Rodentia; Muridae.
GGAGCCUAGAUGGCAAGCUGUGUGUGCUGCACGGGAUGGAGCUGGAGAAGUGACCCAAGCCCCUUGGAGAAGCCCAGAAGAUGGAGGCCACAGUUGAACAACUUUGAACUUUUGAAGAGAUUUUUGGAUUUUAAUAGAGACUUUUUUUUUAAAGAUUGAAUUUUAAGUAUUUGAAUUUGUAAAGAUGUUCUAAGUCCGUAAAAUGUUUAUCUUAGGAUGUUUAUAUUAAUGUGUGAUCUUUGGGAUAAACAAUAAAGGAAAGGUUGUAGCUUAAGAGUGAUAUGUUUGUGUGCCAAGUUGACAAGAAGUCAGUUGUGCUGGCUAAUUUUAUGUCAGCUUCACACAAGCUAGUGUAAGUCAAAUAAGCCCUUUCCUUCCCACAUUGCUUCUGGUCCUGGUGUUUCAUCACAGCAAAAUUAACCCUAACAAGCACGUUCUAAUUGCAUAUUUAUCCUUCUUUCAAAUAAUAAUGAAUUUCAGAGUUCACCUUUCUGGCUUAGAGUUACUAAGUUAUCAACUUAGAAAACUCCCAGAAAGUUGGACUUACCCAAUUAACAUUGAUUUUGAUCUAAUGGGGCUUUCAUGAUAUUUGAUAAAUUUGUAUGGUCCAAAGAACUAUAGGUCCCCUAAGGAAUAUCCCUAAGCUUACUGAAAAAUGUGCUAAAGUUUAGUUCCCAGAACCCCAUGGACAGGGACAAGGGCACCAGGACGCUCCAUAGUAUUGAAUUGUGCAGAGUGCAGACUUACAACAAGGACUCCCUGUGAGCUGAAAUUCAUGCCCAUGGCCUUUCCAAAAAGAAGGAACAAAAAAGAACUUGUGAACAGCUCUAGAAAAAAAAAAAAGGGUGUGUGUGUGGGCUUUUUCAGGCCCUUCCAGGACAGAGAAGUUGGGUUCCUUCCCCUGACCUCCAUGGGGAUUGGCCAAGAGUUCUGAGAAGACGGUUUUGCAACUAAGAAAUCACAAGGCUGGAGUGAAAUGAAAACAAGCAAGGUCCUUUAUCAGCUGAGGACCGUUGGCUCUACUCUGUAGGACUUCAGACAGAGGAAAAUCAAGGGCUAAAGCAGAAAAAUGUUGCAACAUAGGAAAGACUCCCUUUGCAUGAUGUGCCUGCUACCAACUAUGACAGAUGACAGUCACGGGAGCCACCACCAAAGGGUCCAUGUAUGCUGUCUCACUUUGCAUUUAAUAAUACCCACCUUUACAAAGAAAGGCAAGUAUAUCAGCCCUGUGCUGGAUGUUGAGUCCAAGUGCACAGGUCACAGACCUUGCAUCUGUUUGCAGUGUACAUGGGAUUUUUAUGAUAUCUGUUGAUAAUAAUUUUAUUCAAAUAUGCUUAUUCUCAUGGUCAUAUCAGGAGACUUCUUCAAGAAAAUCGAUCUUUAAAACAUAUAGGCUUAAAUCGUAUUUUAAAAUAUUAUAUUUCAUUUGGCUUUACUUAUUUUGAAAGCUAUUUUAAUGAUACAAAUACCAUACAGUGUAUGUUUGUCAUAUAAAUUUCAAAUAAUGUAAAACCUAAAGUCAACCUUUACUUACUCCCCAAUAUCCAGAAUAAGAAUGUGGGUACUUUUGGAAAUGAUUCUUUCAGAAUUUUACAGUGAUCUACAUCUACAAAAAGAAAGGUGUAGAAAUACUCUUGACUAUGUAUGUAACAUGUAUGUUAUAUAUGUAUGUGUAUAAAUUUACAUAUAUACUGUGCAGUUGUUUUAUUGUAACAAUAAAAUCGUAGGUUACUGUUUUAUAGCUUGCCAUUUUCAAGUUUCUGAGCCAGUAAGUCUACCCUUCUUAACUGUUAAUGUAUGGAUAACUGUUACUGUAUGGAUAGCUGUUAAUGUAUGGAUAGCUGUACAAUGGGUUAUUUACAUGUUCCUUUUUCAUUCUUAUGUCAAAAUAUUUGCUUUGAUACAUUGUAUCUUACUACAUUCUUUUUAAAAAAAUAAUUAUUUAUUUUAUGCAUAUGAGUACACUGUAGCUGUCUUCAGACACAUCAGAAAAGAGAAUUGGAUCCCAUUACAGAUGGUCGUGAGCCACCAUGUGAUUGCUGGGAAUUGAGCUCAGGACCUCUGGAAGAAGUCUUAACCAUUGAGCCAUCUCUCCAGCCCCUUCUUACUACAUUCUUACUACAGUAUAUAUAUUUUAAUAUCUUUCUGUUAUGUUUUUGAAACAGAGACAAACCUCGUCAAAUCAUUUGUCUAGUAACCUAUGUCUACAUUACUAUGGCUUAGGAAGGUCUCUCUCCCAGCCCUCUCCCCUCCCCCGUGUUGGACAGAAAAAACGUGAUUACUCUGAGAAAUUACAGAUAAGACUAUACAAAACAAUGUAUCUAAAAUUUCAAGGAAAAAAAGUAGCAUUUCCCUUUGCAAUGAAUAAUGCUUCAUAUCCUUGUUAACACAUUAAAAACCACCACCAG